AGGGAAUCUUGCGCAAUGGGCGAAAGCCUGACGCAGCGACGCCGCGUGAGGGAUGAAGGCCUUCGGGUCGUAAACCUCUGUCCUUGGGGACGAUGAUGACGGUACCCAAGGAGGAAGCCCCGGCUAACUACGUGCCAGCAGCCGCGGUAAUACGUAGGGGGCGAGCGUUGUCCGGAAUUAUUGGGCGUAAAGGGUGCGUAGGCGGCAUGGCAAGUCCUGUGUGAAAGGUCGCGGCUUAACCGCGGUGGGUCAUGGGAAACUGCCAAGCUUGAGUGCCGGAGAGGAUAGCGGAAUUCCACGUGUAGCGGUGAAAUGCGUAGAUAUGUGGAGGAACACCUGUGGCGAAGGCGGCUAUCUGGAAGGUAACUGACGCUGAGGCACGACAGCUGGGGGAGCAAAC
RNAcentral lists this ribosomal RNA (400 nucleotides) under uncultured bacterium. Its description in RNAcentral is "bacterial SSU rRNA". It matches the Rfam family "Bacterial small subunit ribosomal RNA", at positions 356 to 773 of the family's 1533-position model. The record is from RNAcentral.